RNAcentral lists this transfer-messenger RNA (385 nucleotides) under Burkholderiales. Its description in RNAcentral is "Variovorax sp024372625 Standard tmRNA". It matches the Rfam family "transfer-messenger RNA". Rfam says of the family: Bacterial tmRNA, also known as 10Sa RNA or SsrA, is named for its dual tRNA and mRNA-like properties. RNAcentral also lists the same sequence under 3 other names. The record is from RNAcentral. Lineage: Bacteria; Pseudomonadati; Pseudomonadota; Betaproteobacteria.
GGGGCUGCACUGGUUUCGACGUGGGUUCGGAGUCGCUGUGGUGCAUGUCGAGCUGAAUGCGCUCGUUAAUCAGAUUCAAAAAAACUAACUGCAAACGAUCAAUCGUACGCACUCGCCGCUUAAUUGCCGGUGACUUUGCAACAGCACGCCGAUGGGCUGGGCAAAGGGCCGAUGGAGCAAUCCAUCGAUCCUGAGCUGCAAAGAUAAUUACAUCGGCUGGUUCUUGCCCGGGUGCCUUGGGCAAGAACGAGAAAAUAGGGCACUGGCGUCCGGUCUAGCGUGCGACUGCGCGAUUCCGGAAGCGAGAUCAAAACAGAUCGCUAAACAUGUAGAACUGCGCGAUGAAGGCUUGCGGACGGGGGUUCGAAUCCCCCCAGCUCCACCA